GCUAGCAUGGUAUAGUGGUUUGAGCACUGGACUACGACUUUGGACACCAGGGUUCAAAUCCCCGCUCCAACG
Molecule: non-coding RNA, 72 nt
Organism: Phrynosoma platyrhinos (Desert horned lizard)
Lineage: Eukaryota; Metazoa; Chordata; Lepidosauria; Squamata; Phrynosomatidae
Source: the annotation of a GenBank genome assembly